This 404-nucleotide ribosomal RNA is filed under the name uncultured bacterium. RNAcentral describes it as "bacterial SSU rRNA". It matches the Rfam family "Bacterial small subunit ribosomal RNA", at positions 355 to 776 of the family's 1533-position model. The record is from RNAcentral.
UGGGGAAUAUUGCACAAUGGAGGAAACUCUGAUGCAGCGACGCCGCGUGAGUGAAGAAGUAAUUCGUUAUGUAAAGCUCUAUCAGCAGGGAAGAUAGUGACGGUACCUGACUAAGAAGCUCCGGCUAAAUACGUGCCAGCAGCCGCGGUAAUACGUAUGGAGCAAGCGUUAUCCGGAUUUACUGGGUGUAAAGGGAGUGUAGGUGGCCAUGCAAGUCAGAAGUGAAAAUCCGGGGCUCAACCCCGGAACUGCUUUUGAAACUGUGGGGCUAGAGUGCAGGAGGGGUGAGUGGAAUUCCUAGUGUAGCGGUGAAAUGCGUAGAUAUUAGGAGGAACACCAGUGGCGAAGGCGGCUCACUGGACUGUAACUGACACUGAGGCUCGAAAGCGUGGGGAGCAAACAGG